CCAGACUCCUACGGGAGGCAGCAGUGGGGAAUAUUGGGCAAUGGGCGAAAGCCUGACCCAGCAACGCCGCGUGAAGGAAGAAGGCUUUCGGGUUGUAAACUUCUUUUGACAGGGAAGAGCAGAAGACGGUACCUGUCGAAUAAGCCACGGCUAACUACGUGCCAGCAGCCGCGGUAAUACGUAGGGAGCGAGCGUUGUCCGGAAUUACUGGGUGUAAAGGGAGCGUAGGCGGGGAUGCAAGUUGGGUGUUAAAUCUACCGGCUCAACUGGUAGUCGCACUCAAAACUGCAGCUCUUGAGUGAAGGAGAGGCAGGCGGAAUUCCUAGUGUAGCGGUGAAAUGCGUAGAUAUUAGGAGGAACACCAGUGGCGAAGGCGGCCUGCUGGGCUUUUACUGACGCUGAGGCUCGAAAGUGUGGGGAGCAAACAGGAUUAGAUACCCUCGUAC
RNAcentral lists this ribosomal RNA (446 nucleotides) under uncultured bacterium. RNAcentral describes it as "bacterial SSU rRNA". It matches the Rfam family "Bacterial small subunit ribosomal RNA", at positions 331 to 793 of the family's 1533-position model. The record is from RNAcentral.